RNAcentral lists this ribosomal RNA (1794 nucleotides) under Ipomoea nil (Japanese morning glory). Its description in RNAcentral is "Eukaryotic small subunit ribosomal RNA". It matches the Rfam family "Eukaryotic small subunit ribosomal RNA". The record is from Rfam by way of RNAcentral. Lineage: Eukaryota; Viridiplantae; Streptophyta; Magnoliopsida; Solanales; Convolvulaceae.
UACCUGGUUGAUCCUGCAGUAGUCAUAUGCUUGUCUCAAAGAUUAAGCCAUGCAUGUGUAAGUAUGAACUAAUUCAGACUGUGAAACUGCGAAUGGCUCAUUAAAUCAGUUAUAGUUUGUUUGAUGGUACCUACUACUCGGAUAGACGUAGUAAUUCCUAGAGCUAAUACGUGCAAAAACCCGACACUUUUGGAAGGGAUGAUUUAUUAAUAAGGUCGCGCCGGGCUUGCCCAGUUUGCUGCAGCUGAUUCAUGAUAACUCAGAGGAUCGCACAGCCUUAGCGCACCGAGCAUUCAUUCAAAAUUUCUGCCACAUCAUCCAAUUAUCGAAUGGUAGGAUAGUGAUGCUCCAUGGUGGUGGUGAGGUGAACGGAAGAAUUAGGGUUCGAUUCCGGAGAGGGAGCCUGACCAGAAAGGUACCAAUCCAAGGAACAGCAGGCGCGCAAUCACAUCUGAACACGGGAGGUAUGGACAUUAGAUCAAAAUACGGGAUCGAUCUGAGUCUGGUUAAUUGGAAUUGAGUAAAUCUAAAUCCUUAACGAGGAUCAUUGCUGGAGGGAAUGUUGUGCAGCAGGCGCGCGGUAAUUCCAGCUCAAUAGCGCUAUAUUAAGUUGUGUUGCAAGUUAAACAGCUCGCUAGUUGACUUUGAAUGAGCCGGCCGGUCGCCCACGGGGCUGACCGUCGUUCUCGCGUUACCUUAUAGCGCGAUGCGCUCCUGGGCUUAAUUAGGCAGGGGUUGACCUACCGGCAGCUGUCUAAUUUUUGAGAACAUUAGGACGUGCAUCAAGUCAAGGCCUACGCUCUGUAUAAUUAGAAAAUGCGAUGAAAUUAUAGGAUUCACGGAUCUAUUAGUUUGGCCUUCGGAAGUCGGCAGUAAAUGAAUUACAGGCAGUCCGGGGAAUUCGUAAUUCAUAAGUCAGAGGGUAAAUUCUUGGCAAUAUAUGAAAGACGAACAACGGAAAGCAUUGCAAGGAUGUUUUGUUGUUUAAUGCAGAACGGAAGAGUGGUCGCUCGAAGAGAUCCUACGUCUAGUCUCAACUAAACGAUGCACGAGGAUCGGGCAUGUUGCUUUAGGACUCGCCGGCCCUAUGAGAAUCAAAGUCUUGGUUUGGGGAGUUGUCGAGGCUGAACUUAAAGGAAUUGGGUAGGGAACCAACCGAGGGUGGAGAGCGUGCGGUUAAUUUGACUUCAAACAUAACCCGGAGGGGAAAACUUUACCAGGCAAGACUAAGUAAGAUUGCAGAUGAGAGCUUUUUUCGAGAUUUAUAUGAGGUCGGUGGGUGCAUGGACCUUCUUGUUGGAUGGAGCGGAAUUUGUCUGACGGUUAUUCCCGUUAAACGACGAGACCUCAGACUUGCCUAACUAGUAUAGCGCGGUUAUCCCUACCGCGGCAGCUUCUUAGAAGGACUACGGCAUUAUCAAGGCGCGGAGUGAGGCAAUAACGGUAUGUGAUUUGCCUUAAUGUUCUGUGGCGCACAGCGCGCCAUACAACUGAUCGUAUUCAAAGAGCAUAUCUGGACGACAGGCCGCGGUAAUCUUAUGAAUUCUCGUGAUGGGGUAGAUCAUUUCAUUGGUUGGUUUCAACGAGAAUGUUCCUAGUAGCAGGAGUAUAGCUACGCGUUGACUAAGUCUCAUUUUAACACCGCCGUAUGCGCUCCUACAUUGAUGAUCCGGUGAAGUGUUGGAUGCGGCGACGUGGCGGUUCGCUGCCCGCACGUCGCAGAGAAGUCCACUGAACUUUCAUUUAGAGGAAGGAGAAGUGUAAAAGGUUUUUGGUGAACGCGAAGGAUAAUUG